This 374-nucleotide RNase P RNA is filed under the name Salmonella enterica subsp. enterica serovar Typhimurium. RNAcentral's name for it is "RNase P RNA component class A". It matches the Rfam family "Bacterial RNase P class A". From Rfam's summary of the family: Ribonuclease P (RNase P) is a ubiquitous endoribonuclease, found in archaea, bacteria and eukarya as well as chloroplasts and mitochondria. Lineage: Bacteria; Pseudomonadati; Pseudomonadota; Gammaproteobacteria; Enterobacterales; Enterobacteriaceae. The record is from RNAcentral.
GAAGCUGACCAGACAGUCGCCGCUUCGUCGUCGUCCUUUCGGGGAGACGGGCGGAGGGGAGGAAAGUCCGGGCUCCAUAGGGCAGGGUGCCGGGUAACGCCCGGGGGGAAACCCACGACCAGUGCAACAGAGAGCAAACCGCCGAUGGCCCACGUAAGUGGGAUCAGGUAAGGGUGAAAGGGUGCGGUAAGAGCGCACCGCGCGGCUGGUAACAGUCCGUGGCACGGUAAACUCCACCCGGAGCAAGGCCAAAUAGGGGUUCAUAAGGUACGGCCCGUACUGAACCCGGGUAGGCUGCUUGAGCCAGUGAGCGAUUGCUGGCCUAGAUGAAUGACUGUCCACGACAGAACCCGGCUUAUCGGUCAGUUUCACUU